CUCCUCUUCUGUGCAUGUUUCUUCGACCUGUAUGGUACCUCUAGUCUUUCCAUUUAUUUGGACUGGAAGGACUACAGUGCUCUCUUUUAAAUAUGCAGCAUCAGCCUGUCAUUAAAACGGUAAUCAACAAGCGCUUCACUUAAUCCAAUGAUUUAAGAUGUUCAUGAGGCAGCAUCAGCCUGUCAUUAUAACCGUAAAUCAGUUUUAACGUUUCACCCAAUUCAAUGAUUCAAGAUGUUCAUGACCUUUUUUUUCUUUUUGAUAAAGUAAGAUGUUCAUGAGCUUUCAGUAAUCCCGUAAAUUUAAUUAGUCUCUCUAGCCACUAUAGACAACAUUAGGCAUUCAUAACUUUCAAAAAUAAAUAUGUUUUAGCCUGCUUAUGUGGAAUAUUUGCUGAAAAUGGACUCCUGCAGUUUUUCAAGAAAACUGGACGACUAAAUAUGUACAUAACGAGCAGCUCUCUGGUAGGAUGUUUGUAACUCAGCUCCCUUUUCUUUAGCAACAGUAAAGAGACUAGAAAAAGACAAGCGAUCCAUCAUCUGUCAAACAGGUAGAAUGGGGGAGAAAGGAAUAUAAGAAAGUAAAAAUCUAGGAUCAAGGAAAAGCUCACCUU
This 613-nucleotide long non-coding RNA is filed under the name Nicotiana benthamiana. RNAcentral describes it as "long non-coding RNA (NBEN_LNC024219)". Lineage: Eukaryota; Viridiplantae; Streptophyta; Magnoliopsida; Solanales; Solanaceae. The record is from RNAcentral.